GCAUCAUUGUGCAGCCACUCAUUAUCCUGUGUCCAGUUACUUAGCACCCAAGCAUCUGCUUCCCCUCUGUGAAGAAUUCAGUGAUGGAAAUUAGGAAGACCUUGGACUUAAUGGGCUCUGCGCAUGUAAUUGUCUAAGGGUACAAUGGGCCUUUUAUGAUCGCAAUAAGAACACGGAGCCCUUCUCCAGUUGGCAUGGAGCUUUCCUUCUUGUCACUAAGGUAAAGGCAUCGUGAUGUCUGUGGGGGCAGGUAAUGAGGCACAAAGGUCUGCUAUGUGGAGAGUUGGUCCAGCAGGGAGAGAAGAAGGUGAGAAAACAGCCUCGGCACUGCUCGUCUGAAGACACGAUGAAUAGCCUUUGCCUGCCACGUUCAGCCCUCCUGCACAAGCAGGCUCGGGGCCAGAGGCUCUUGAACGCAGGUACCAAUUCUUGGAGUCUUUCUUUCCUAAAUGCGUCUUGUAGCCGUCCCCCGUCCUCUCCAAGAUCUGCCACCACUUUCUUUCUGGAUCUCAAUAUCUCUCGGCUGGGCUUCACCAACUGUCUUGUAACUGCUAUUAUUGAAUUAGUUUCUCCUACUCCCAACCUCUCCUCCACAGGGCCAUCAGAAAGCCUUCGCUGAAGCCAUCUGGGAUCGCAUCAGUCUGGGCAUAAAGCACCUCCUGGUUCCCAAGUCUGGAACAUGGGCAAGCCUGCCCCACAUGGCCCCUGUUCCAAUCAUGCUCGCCUCCAGCCAUCUGAAACUCUUGCCCUGGAAACUCCAUGCUCUGUCUUGACUCCUAGCCUUUGCAUAUGCUGAACCUUCCACCUGGCACAGCAUUCUCAGCAAGGGGUUAAAAGUAUAGACUCCAGAGUUAGAUAACCUGGGUUUGAAUCCUGGGACCAUCAUGUCUUGGCCAUGUACUCAACAACCUCUCUAAGUGUCAUUUCAUCAUGGUUAACAUAGAGAACAAAAAUCAUAAUACCUAUCUCAUAACUUUGUCACUAGGGUUAAACAAGAUAAUCCAUAUAAAGCAAUUAGCCCAGUGCCAGGCAUGCAGUAAGCACUUAAUAAAUGCAAGUAAUGAUGAUGAUGAUGAGCCUCUCUUAUAAGCCAGGUCAUUGAAAGGCAAUGAUGGUACAGAGAUGAGUAAGUUGUUUUGCAUUGUUUAUCUCAUCUUUUCAACUAAAUAUGGAAUUAUUCAAUUUUCUUUUCUUGUUUCCUCCUGUUUCCCACAGAUAGAGAGCAAUGCAUGAGAUAGGUAAUCAAUAAAUGCUCACUGGAAGGAUGAAUGAAUGGAUUCAUUCAAUGGAUGAACUGAAUGUUUUACCCAAUAUAAUUCUUUAAAAGAAAAAGACAAAAAUGACGCUAAGAAACACACAAAAUAAAUUUAAAGGUUAAUACAAAAAUUGCAAAUGCCAGGCAGGAAAAAGAAACACUUUUUCCAACUGAGAACCAUUGAAGCUAAGUCCUUUAAUUACCGCCAUCUGGAGUGGAGGUGAGCGCCAUUUGGCUGGAGCUCAUUCAUUCCCCAUCACGCCUGGCUUGAACUGCCUUCCACAGUGUCUACGUCCAGACGCCUUCGAGUAACAUAGUCAAUGUGCACAGUACAUCACAGGCUGCAAAGCUCUACCUCACCAUGGAUCCCAAAUGGUGCUCAGACCAAGUCUGAGACAGGGAGGGUAGGAAACACUGUCCCAUUCUACACAUGAGGAAACUGAGGCUAGAUACAAGCCCAGCAACCUGCCCAAGGCCAGUAAGCUCAAAGUCACGAGCCAGGUCUAGAAUUUGGGUCUUUGGGGUCUAAAUUCCAUACGUUAAGCUGCCCUCAUCUUCUGGGUGACGUGUGCAAGGGCAUCCUUCUGCCUCUCUCUUCUUAUCCAUUCCAAGGAAGGCUGCUCACCUGCAAGGGAGCAAGAGUUCAUCUGCCCUAAUGCAGAGUGAUAGGAAGUCCAGGAGAAGGAAAACAAAAGGAACGGCAUGGAAGAAAGGAAGAGGGCACCAGAUGUGACGAUUUGCUGUAGUUGGGUAUUUUUCAAGAAUAAAAUAGACAUCUAGAGGAGGCAUGGGAUCCUUUCUUCCCAAGCAUCUUUCUUUUUGGCCUGGGUUGCUACAAGACCCCAAAUUGGAGCUUGCCCUGUUGCCUCCAAAAAAAGCAAAGGGUUCUUUGGCUGCUAACACCUGUCUCACUGGCUCCUCCCAGAGGCAGAUUUAUUUCCAGGUGCAGAGCAACCAUUUUGGGGACACACUAUUUGAUCAGAAGUGGUUUUCUGUGGAAUCCUAUGACGAUGAAUAAGGUAUUCUUAAGUCCCCAAAUGGGGAUGCUGGCAGAAGCAUCACGGGCAGGGGAGGCAAUUCAGCAUCCAGGAGAUGUGUCUAGCCUAGUGAGGACACAUCCCCCCACUCCCCCACCCCCUGCCCAUGAUUGGAAGGUCCAUUGUAAUCAACCUGCCAUCAGGUGGCUGGCUGGACCUCAAGGAAGGUGCCAUAUUGGGGGCGCGGUGGGGUCUCGGCUGUUUGCAGGUCAGGCAUGCUGUGGUAGAGUUGGCAGCCGUUGCCACCAGAAUAUUAACAGAGGGGACUUCUGGGUAAUGAGAUGACAAAUUGUUAUCCUUGCCUUUUUGCUGGUUAUAUUUCCUAAUUUCUC
Molecule: long non-coding RNA, 2624 nt
Filed under: Equus caballus (horse)
Lineage: Eukaryota; Metazoa; Chordata; Mammalia; Perissodactyla; Equidae
Description: lncRNA (ENSECAG00000049709.1)
Source: RNAcentral